GCGGUGAUGACGCUUUUGGUUUUGAUCAGCGAUGAAAACACCCGACCAAUUCCUCUAAGAAGUUCUGAGCUC
Pseudoliparis swirei is the source of this 72-nucleotide small nucleolar RNA. RefSeq annotates it as small nucleolar RNA SNORD61. The transcript has a single exon. NCBI's taxonomy places the organism in Eukaryota, Metazoa, Chordata, Actinopteri, Perciformes, Liparidae. The record is from RefSeq and is a predicted model, not a curated record.